UACGAAGGGGGCUAGCGUUGCUCGGAAUGACUGGGCGUAAAGGGCGCGUAGGCGGUUUGUUUCGUUAGGCGUGAAAUUCCUGGGCUCAACCUGGGGACUGCGCUUAAGACAAGCAGACUGGAGUGUGAAAGAGGGUCGUGGAAUUCCCAGUGUAGAGGUGAAAUUCGUAGAUAUUGGGAAGAACACCGGUGGCGAAGGCGGCGACCUGGUUCAUUACUGACGCUGAGGCGCGAAAGCGUGGGGAGCAAACAGG
This 253-nucleotide ribosomal RNA is filed under the name uncultured bacterium. Its description in RNAcentral is "partial 16S ribosomal RNA". It matches the Rfam family "Bacterial small subunit ribosomal RNA", at positions 524 to 776 of the family's 1533-position model. The record is from RNAcentral.